This is an RNA transcript of Parasteatoda tepidariorum (common house spider), 1505 nucleotides long. It is a transcript of the gene named alpha-crystallin A chain, with no coding region annotated. Lineage: Eukaryota; Metazoa; Arthropoda; Arachnida; Araneae; Theridiidae. The record is from RefSeq and is a predicted model, not a curated record.
UUACAUUCUUUAUUUUUAUCAGGGGAAUAAAAAUCAUAAAAAUACAAAACAUUAGACUUUUGAAGAAAAGUUAAAUUUAAUCGAGCAAAUUCUUUAAAGAAACUAAAAAAGUUAAAAAAAAAUAUUUCCCUUGUGCACGGCUCACAGAAAAGUACCAUUUCAAUUAAUAUGCAACUAAUAUUUCAUUUACAUUUGAAAUUCUUCUUACUUUAAGCGUGCUGAACUAAUGUAAACUUUUGUAAGCUUCAUGUAAACUUUUUUGUAGCAAAAAGGAUAGAUUAACUGCCAAAUCUGUCGAGAGGAUCACACACUUCCGAUGAGACUGUUCCCAUAGCAACCAGAUUUUAGGAGAAAUUUCUGGAUCUCUUCCUGCCUAUAUAAUGACGCGGCGGCAUGUUUGUUGUAAUUUGAAUUUGCGAAUUGUCAAAAUACGAUUUUGCAUUCACUGAAGAGUAAUUCCUAUUUCUGCUUUUGUUCUCUAUUGCUAUACGAUUUACUAUUUCGUUGUGUAUUUAUCGUGAAACCUCUGCUUCGAAAUGGCGUUUUCUUUGCUACCUCUGUUGACCGGCGGCAAUUCAUGGUGGGAUACAUGGGACUACCCCUCCACGCUGCUCGACCAACAUUUUGGAAUGGGUUUGCUGGACUCUGAUUUGCGUCCUCCUCAAUUUUACAGAGGAUAUCUCCUUCGACCCCGAACCCAAAUGAACAUCGAUGCAUCGGGACUGUCUGAAGUGAAAAAUGAAAAAGAUAAAUUUCAAGUGAAGUUGAACGUCAGUCAUUUUAAGCCUGAAGAAAUCAACGUAAAGGCUGUUGACAACUCAAUCGUCAUUCAUGGUAAACACGAGGAGAAAUCUGACGAACAUGGUUUCAUCUCCAGAGAAUUCACUCGUCGGUACAUGCUACCGGAGGGAACCGAACCCGAAACUGUUACAUCAACCCUUACACCCGAUGGUUGUUUAGUCAUCGAAGCUCCAAAGAAAGCAAUCGAGCCUCCACCUUCAAAGGAAAAAGUUAUCCCAAUUGAUGUCCAGAAAUCUGAAGAUAAAUGAACUGUUUCUGAACUGAUCCUCCUAAAUACUGAAGCACUCUGGGGAAAUUUACUUCGUUAUGUAUCAUGAUGGAUGUCAAAUGAUAUGAAGUGGAAUCAAGGGAAACCCUGUUCUACAAAAUCAUAUCAAAAACCUUUGGAUGUUCUGUAUUAAUUUAUCUUUAAUAGACUUGAAGCUAAAACCAAGAAUUAAGAAAAAUAUACCUUUAUUUGGAAGAAUUAUACAGCCAAAAGAAAGUUGAUUGAAAGCAUUCAAAAUAAGGUUCAAGAAUUGUUAUUUUGCAAAAAUGAUGUCAACUGAAAUGAAAACAACGGAGUUCAAGUUAGGUGAAUCGUCAAAAGAUUUGGCAGGUGAAUCGUCAAAAGAUUUGGUAGAAUUGGAAGUCAUAGAAUUGGAUAAGGGAAUUCCAGUAUUUGUAGUAGAUUUAGAAAAUGAUAUGCCAAUCUUGAACAGGGC